RNAcentral lists this ribosomal RNA (253 nucleotides) under uncultured bacterium. Its description in RNAcentral is "partial 16S ribosomal RNA". It matches the Rfam family "Bacterial small subunit ribosomal RNA", at positions 524 to 776 of the family's 1533-position model. The record is from RNAcentral.
UACGUAGGGUCCGAGCGUUGUCCGGAGUUACUGGGCGUAAAGCGCGCGCAGGCGGCGGUGUUGGCCCGGCGUGAAAGCCCCCGGCUCAACCGGGGAGAGUCGUCGGGGACCGCACCGCUUGAGGGCGGUAGGGGCUGGUGGAAUGCCUGGUGUAGUGGUGAAAUGCGUAGAGAUCAGGCAGAACACCUGGGGCGAAGGCGGCCAGCUGGGCCGUCCCUGACGCUGAGGCGCGAAAGCUAGGGGAGCAAACAGG